RNAcentral lists this ribosomal RNA (762 nucleotides) under uncultured bacterium. RNAcentral describes it as "bacterial SSU rRNA". It matches the Rfam family "Bacterial small subunit ribosomal RNA", at positions 129 to 865 of the family's 1533-position model. The record is from RNAcentral.
CCCUUUUAUCGGGGAUAACUUGCCGAAAGGUGAGCUAAUACCGGAUGUGCUGUUUUGAUCACAUGAUCGAGAUAACAAAGGUGGCCUCUAUUUAUAAGCUACCGUAAAAAGGAUGGACCCGCGUCUGAUUAGCUAGUUGGUGGGGUAAUGGCCUACCAAGGCGACGAUCAGUAGCCGGCCUGAGAGGGUGAACGGCCACACUGGGACUGAGACACGGCCCAGACUCCUACGGGAGGCAGCAGUGGGGAAUCUUCCGCAAUGGACGAAAGUCUGACGGAGCAACGCCGCGUGAGUGACGAAGGUUUUCGGAUUGUAAAACUCUGUCUUUUGGGACGAAGGGUUCAUAUGUAAAUAAUGUAUGAAAUUGACGGUACCGAAGGAGGAAGCCCCGGCUAACUACGUGCCAGCAGCCGCGGUAAUACGUAGGGGGCAAGCGUUGUCCGGAAUUAUUGGGCGUAAAGAGCGCGCAGGCGGUUUUGUAAGUCCACCGUGAAAGCUUACGGCUCAACCGUAACGGGUCGGUGGAUACUGCAAGACUUGAGGGCAGGAGAGGAAAGUGGAAUUCCCAGUGUAGCGGUGAAAUGCGUAGAUAUUGGGAGGAACACCAGUGGCGAAGGCGACUUUCUGGACUGUUACUGACGCUGAGGCGCGAAAGCUGGGGAAGUGAACGGGAUUAGAUACCCCGGUAAUCCCAGCCGUAAACGAUGGGUACUAGGUGUAGGGGGUAUCGACCCCCCCUGUGCCGGAGUUAACGCAAUAAGU